CUCUGUGCCUGCCAGCUUGCCUGCCUGUCUGCCUGCAGAGUUGCAGUGCGGAGUAUCAUUGCAGCGCUUUUUCAGGGAGUAACGUGCUGCACUGGUUCGGGCUUUGUCUUUAUUCACAACACAUUCGUGUGCCUCAGCAGGGGUGGGGACUGCACUGUUGCCUGCCAGCCUGUCCUCUUUGACUGUCUGCUGAAUAAUCGAGUGAAAACUCUCCAUUAGAGGGAGAGAGAGAGAGAAAGAGGAGAGAGAGAGAGAGAGAGAGAGAGAGAGAGAGAGAGAGAGAAGGAAGAGAGGAGCACAUUGAGAUACAGAGGAAGAAAGACCACGCAAAAAGAAGAGGGGUGGAGAGGGGAGAGAAGGGGAGAAACGGAUGCUGUCUGGCGCGCUCAUAUAUUAGGGCUCUGGCAGGAGGCUGCAGGAGCAGCAUCAGCAAGCUUUCAGGCAGUGAUUCUAACUGUUGCCCGUGAACACCAUGGUCAGGAUGACUUUGAAGAGGCAAUUGAUUACUUAUGCAUAGAACACUCUAGCUCUGCUAAAACUAGGAAAUCAGACACCCCCUUGUUUUCUAAUUUAGAGACUUGCGUCUUUCGAGCCUCAACACUUUCAAGACACUCUGCUUCAGGAAACUGGAAUUUUGAAGAUGUGUUUGCUAUGGACCUCAACUAUCUCAUUUGCAGAUAUGCAGCAUUCUGUCUGAUGGACGUGUGGCCCAAGGCUGUGAUAUAGGAUAAGAAGAGACCUGGAGCUGUCUGUAUGUGUUUAUAAAAUAGAGAAAAGAUAAACAGAAAAAUUAAUUCUGACUUCUUGCUUCUCAAUCUUCUCUCACCACCUGAUUAAACAAACAAAACAAAAUAAGGGGCAGGCAUUUAUCCUAGUGAUUAGAUACAGAUUGGCACAUACACAUUCCACACAGGACAGAGUCCUGAGUCUCAUACUUCGUGCUGGGUCCUUACUCCAGCUCAGUCCUUAGGCAAACCCUUAGCAAUAGUGGUGCUGGUUGAAGGGACUGACUUCUGACAACCCAUGUGAGAGUUCUGUGUUGUGCUCCUGGCUCCUGGCUUUAGAGGGGUCCAACCUCAACCAUUGCCAGCAUUUGUGGAGUGAACCAGUGCGUAGGAACUCUCUCUCCCUCUCAAUUAAAUACAUAAAUAAUAAAACAAAACAAAACAAUAAUGUGACA
RNAcentral lists this long non-coding RNA (1180 nucleotides) under Oryctolagus cuniculus (rabbit). RNAcentral describes it as "lncRNA (ENSOCUG00000031592.1)". The record is from RNAcentral. Lineage: Eukaryota; Metazoa; Chordata; Mammalia; Lagomorpha; Leporidae.